GACGAACGCUGGCGGCGUGCUUAACACAUGCAAGUCGAACGGUAAGGCCCCAGCUUGCUGGGGUACACGAGUGGCGAACGGGUGAGUAACACGUGGGUGACCUGCCCUGCACUUCGGGAUAAGCCUGGGAAACUGGGUCUAAUACCUGAUAGGACCGCACCGUGAGGGUGUGGUGGAAAGUUUUUCGGUGUGGGAUGGGCCCGCGGCCUAUCAGCUUGUUGGUGGGGUAAUGGCCUACCAAGGCGGCGACGGGUAGCCGGCCUGAGAGGGUGGACGGCCACAUUGGGACUGAGACACGGCCCAGACUCCUACGGGAGGCAGCAGUGGGGAAUAUUGCACAAUGGGCGGAAGCCUGAUGCAGCGACGCCGCGUGGGGGAUGACGGCCUUCGGGUUGUAAACUCCUUUCACCAUCGACGAAGGUUUUCUGACGGUAGAUGGAGAAGAAGCACCGGCUAACUACGUG
RNAcentral lists this ribosomal RNA (464 nucleotides) under uncultured bacterium. RNAcentral's name for it is "partial 16S ribosomal RNA". It matches the Rfam family "Bacterial small subunit ribosomal RNA", at positions 28 to 507 of the family's 1533-position model. The record is from RNAcentral.